Non-coding RNA from Myodes glareolus (Bank vole), 576 nucleotides. The record is from RefSeq and is a predicted model, not a curated record. Lineage: Eukaryota; Metazoa; Chordata; Mammalia; Rodentia; Cricetidae.
CCUGAAACUUGCUGUGUAGACUAGGCUGGGCUUGGGCUCCCGAAUAUCGGCUUGCCUCUCCCGUUCAAGCACUGGGAUGAAAGACAUGUUCCACCAUAUAAGCCAACACUUGGAUUCUCCGGGUUGUCAUCUCCCUUGAGAGGAACUGUGCCUGCUUUGUUUAUAUUAUAUCCCGGAUGCCUCGUAUCAGCGCUCUAAUUACUUGUAUGUACAGUGAACCUGCCACCCACUAGUUAUAUGACCCUGGGCCAGUCACUGCCUCUCUGCGUUAAUAUUUACCAAGCCCUCACGAUAUUUUAGUAACAUUUAUUCCGUGAGCCUUGCUGUGCUGGCUGAACCCCACAACAACCCUAUGAGAUGGUUACUAUUUUUAUUUCUAUCAGUGAGUAAAAUCAGAUCCCAAGAGCAGAGGUGACACGCUUAAGGUGGCUGGUAGCAGGUGGGAGUAAGUCAUUGACCUAGAAGCAAAUUAAUUGCUGGUCCACUCUGUCCCCUCCUUCUGCUGCGGUGUGGCCAUCUCUGUCCUCUGCCCUAAACUCCUCAUAACUUCUUGCCAAUAAAACACGAUUAAUCACA